UACGUAGGUGGCGAGCGUUGUCCGGAUUCAUUGGGCGUAAAGAGCGUGUAGGCGGCCAGGUAGGUCGGUUGUGAAAACUGGAGGCUCAACCUUCAGAGGUCGACCGAAACCAUCUGGCUAGAGUCCGGGAGAGGAGAGUGGAAUUCCUGGUGUAGCGGUGAAAUGCGCAGAUAUCAGGAAGAACACCCGUGGCGAAAGCGGCUCUCUGGAACGGUACUGACGCUGAGACGCGAAAGCGUGGGGAGCGAACAGG
Molecule: ribosomal RNA, 253 nt
Filed under: uncultured bacterium
Lineage: Bacteria
Description: partial 16S ribosomal RNA
Rfam family: Bacterial small subunit ribosomal RNA
Source: RNAcentral